Ostrinia nubilalis (European corn borer) is the source of this 397-nucleotide long non-coding RNA. RefSeq lists it as uncharacterized. The record is from RefSeq and is a predicted model, not a curated record. The transcript has 3 exons. Lineage: Eukaryota; Metazoa; Arthropoda; Insecta; Lepidoptera; Crambidae.
CAUUCGUUUAUUUUCUUCAGUUUUGUAAAGAUUUUUGUAGUGACGGGUGUGUGGCUGUCGCCGGUUUUUGUAUUGGGAAACGCUUCAAUAUUUCCAUUUCUUUUCGAAAUAAUGAAUGUUUUAUGACACAAUUAGUUCGUGAUAUAUUUUUUGUGUUAUUAAUUUCAUUGUUAUAGUGUAAAGCUCGUGCUAGUGUAAUUUAUUUGCAUUCAAUUGCAGUUCAGUGGUUGUGCAAGGAUUUGUCCCUUCGUUUUCUUGGCUUAUCUGCUGCAUUUCUCGUUGUACAAGGCUCAUAAGAUGUGUUCACGAUGAUCCAGCGAAUGACGGAGGCAAUGGCGUCGUAGGGCCACCACUUAUUUGCUCAUCGAGGUGUAAUCGUGUAAGGUCGCGAUGGGCG